GUCUACAGCCAUGCUGCUCUGAACAAGCUUGAUCCUGUCCGAUCUUGGAAGCUAAGCAGGGUCAUGCCUGGUUAGUACUUGCAUGGGAGACCACCUAGGAAGACCAGGUGCUGUAAGCU
This 119-nucleotide ribosomal RNA is filed under the name Pteropus alecto (black flying fox). The record is from RNAcentral. Lineage: Eukaryota; Metazoa; Chordata; Mammalia; Chiroptera; Pteropodidae.